This 234-nucleotide long non-coding RNA is filed under the name Phoenix dactylifera (date palm). Its description in RNAcentral is "long non-coding RNA (PDAC_LNC019073)". The record is from RNAcentral. Lineage: Eukaryota; Viridiplantae; Streptophyta; Magnoliopsida; Arecales; Arecaceae.
GAGAUGAAAAUAAAAUAUUCAUUAGAAGCAGAAUAAGGUUUAUACAACUCCAAGAAUAGAAAUUAAAAAUAUAAAACCCAUAUCCCUGUGUUAGGGCUGCAUCCAGCCCUAAAGAGAAGAUCAGCCCUGCAUGGAGUUGGAGACGGCAGCAGCAGCACAGCAGCGGGCUUCCAUCUCUUCCUUUCGCCGGCUUCCUCUCCCUCUUGAACUUCUAUGGAAAUUCAUUCCCGAAAU